GUGGUUUAUUCGAAGCAACGCGAAGAACCUUACCAGGUCUUGACAUCCUCUGACAACCCUAGAGAUAGGGCUUCCCCUUCGGGGGCAGAGUGACAGGUGGUGCAUGGUUGUCGUCAGCUCGUGUCGUGAGAUGUUGGGUUAAGUCCCGCAACGAGCGCAACCCUUGAUCUUAGUUGCCAGCAUUCAGUUGGGCACUCUAAGGUGACUGCCGGUGACAAACCGGAGGAAGGUGGGGAUGACGUCAAAUCAUCAUGCCCCUUAUGACCUGGGCUACACACGUGCUACAAUGGGCANAACAAAGGGCAGCGAAGCCGCGAGGCUAAGCCAAUCCCACAAAUCUGUUCUCAGUUCGGAUCGCAGUCUGCAACUCGACUGCGUGAAGCUGGAAUCGCUAGUAAUCGCGGAUCAGCAUGCCGCGGUGAAUACGUUCCCGGGCCUUGUACACACCGCCCGUCACACCACGAGAGUUUGUAACACCCGAAGUCGGUGAGGUAACCUUUUGGAGCCAGCCGCCGAAGGUGGGACAGAUGAUUGGGGUGAAGUCGUAACAAGGUAGCCGUAUCGGAAGGUGCGGCUG
This 577-nucleotide ribosomal RNA is filed under the name Bacillus licheniformis. RNAcentral describes it as "bacterial SSU rRNA". It matches the Rfam family "Bacterial small subunit ribosomal RNA", at positions 941 to 1520 of the family's 1533-position model. The record is from RNAcentral. Lineage: Bacteria; Bacillati; Bacillota; Bacilli; Caryophanales; Bacillaceae.